Long non-coding RNA from Mastomys coucha (southern multimammate mouse), 3129 nucleotides. RefSeq lists it as uncharacterized. NCBI's taxonomy places the organism in Eukaryota, Metazoa, Chordata, Mammalia, Rodentia, Muridae. The transcript is spliced from 9 exons. The record is from RefSeq and is a predicted model, not a curated record.
AAAACAAAUAUUGUAUGUACAUCCUAAUUGCUAAGAUUUUUACAGUCAAUAGGCCCAUGCUUUCCACAAUACUGGAUCCAAAUAAGUCCUAAUUCCAAUAUUUGGCAUCUUUACAGAGAGACAGAGAUUAAAAAUGAAGAGACAAAAAAAAAAAAAAUGAAGAGACAUGCAGAGAGUGCACCAUGUCAUCAUGGAGGCAGACUGAAGUGACACAGCUGCUAGUCAAAGAGGAGUACUGAGGACUUCCUGAAGCCACCAAAGGAAAGAGAUGGCUGUCUUCAUAUUCGUUCUAGACAUUGGUUCCUACUCAAGUCAAGGCAAGUCAUCUGACCUUCACCAAGAAAGCCCAACAUCCAGGAAAUGGAAAUUGUGUGUUUGGAUAUGCAUGUCUGACUAUGAAAGCUUGGGUCUCCUUCCAUCUGACCUGAAGAAAUUUCAUCAUACCUGCAAUGGAAAUCUACUGCUCUCCACCCCACACUCACCCUCUUCGAUUUUCCAUGUCACAGGAUUUACUAAAUACCAUCUAUCAUAUGCGUAUUUGACUUGUGCAAGUUCCUGGGUCUGGUAGCACAACCUCAAAAUCUCAGGUACUUGGGAAGCUGAGGCAGGAGGAUCUCAUGUUUAAGACUUGCCAAGGCUGUGGUGCAAACUUGAAGCUAGCCUGGUUAAGGUAGUGAGGCCUUGCCUCAAAAGAUUUAUAUAGCUGAAGAAGCAAGGGAGAGUGCUUGCCUAACAUGUGUAAAGCCCCAAAUUUAAUCCCCAGUACCACAGAACAAUAAUGUACAUAACUAUAAUAAACUCUACAUAGUAAACUUUUAUAAAUAUAUUUCAUGAACUGUGAAGAGAUAGGAUCUGUUGUCCAAUAAGCAGGAACUGACACGGUUCCCUUGAAAAGUGUGUCUGCCAAAGCAUUUUGUGAUUGUAAUCACAGAAAACUUAGAGAAAGCCAUUCUUGAUUUCCAUGCCUCAGUUUAUAAUUUACUGCCACUCAUUGGAAACCAGAGCCAGGGUUUUUCAAACCUUGAACAUUACUUAAUUUUAUAGUUGUUACAGAGCUUUUUACAAAGCUUAACACCUUGCUUGGUCAGAACGGCAUCUGUUGAAUAAAUGAAUAGAUGAGCAAAUGAGUUGUUGAUGGCAAAUGAGUAUGUUUGUCGGGCUUUAAAGGGUUGUUUUUCUAUAAGCAUGGGUGUGUUUGUUUUCUGGAUACACUGACUGACAGAGUGUGACAUUAUUACCUUCUGUUUACAGGUGAAGAAGCGGAACUGUCUAGAGACUUGCUCAAGUGGAAGGCACCUCCCACACCUGCCCUAUGCAGUCAGGCCUUCUGUGCACACAAUCAAUUGCCUGGAUUAAUGUCACUGGCUCCUGAAGUGUCCUGCUACGCAGGCAAUCCACUCUGAUUUGUACUUCUAUUGGUUCUUAGAAGAACUGGGUAGUUUUCCAAAUGAACAGUAGGACAAAUCCCUGAAGCCUGACAUCUGAGCUUCCAGAGCCUCCCCUCCCUUUGGACUCAAUACUAGGUUAUAAGAGAAUGUGGGAAGACAGAGCCACAGCAAGACAAACAGAAGCGUUCCAUCACCCUCUGCGUUACAUCGCACAUUCUUUAAGAAAACCAUCCACCCAAGGCUAAGACACAAGCCAGAAAGGAAGUUCUGCCCCAGAGAUGGAUGGAGUUCUCAGCUCAUAUCUGUGGUCUUGACUUUUUCCUACAAUGAUCAUCUGUGCUGGCCCUCCACAGCCUCCAUCACUGUGAGAAUCCACCUGCUCUCCCUGGGAGAUGAAGCCAAUGCCUCCCAUGCCAUGCUCUCUGGGGAUCAGCUCUCAGCACGGAGAGCCUGCUCCAGCCCCUGAAGCAGAAAGCUGCUACUCAACCAAACACACAGGCUAACAGCUGGGAUUAAAUGACCUGAAAGAAAAAUGAGAGCUCCCAACUAGAGGGAUCACUUGACUUAGAAGCUGGAAGAAUGAAGCCUUCUCACCCAGAGUGAAGGUAUGAUCUAGAUUGCUCCUCAAAAUGUCAAGAAUGAUGCCUUUCAAAUCACAUCCUCUGUAAAUGCCCUCCUACAAGCUCUAACCUGUAAGACUUCAGCCUGAACGACAAUUCAUCUCUACCCAGCUCCCCCAACCUUCACCCCAGGAGGCUUCCUCUUACAUGGGGAUGAGACUUGGGAAGCCAUACGCCUUCUCCGCUGAACCCUGAACAGUACCUGAAAUCAGCGAUCACAAUGAAGCGACUGGCAUAACCAGCCACGAUCUUCUCCUGGGUCAAGCAGCCUCUGACAGGAAAGAAGAUUAGAGUGAGAUCAUCUUCAUUUGGGAAGUAGGAUCAGACUUGGGAGUCCCAAAUAUGCUCAAUCCUGACACUUAAAGAGAAAUCUGGCUUCCGUUUUUAAAGAGCCAUUCUCAAUCCUAUAAUGCUCCUUUCUAGUAAAUGGAAUACACAAACAUCUGCCUGUGUCUGGUAGAAACCUAGAAAGUAGACAAUGGUUCUAUUCAGGCCAAGCACUUCCCCUCCAACAGGCAUCUAAGCAGCACUGUGUUAGGGAGAUGACUCUGGACGUGCCCUCAAUAGAUGACCAGUUUGGAACACCUGCCCUGUGGACUAUGUGAUAGCACAUGGCCAGGGAUACUGAGUCAUCUGGCCUAUGGCUACUGCUCCCAAAAUAAAUUGCCUCACACCUGCAACAAGGACUAUGUAAUACAUUUAAAAAGUGAAUACUGUGUCAUUCUAAUAAAUGUUACCAAACAAAGGAAGAGCACCCCCAAGGGAUUACGGACUUCACAGCUUUAACACAAAAGGCACAGACCUAACAGUCUAAGCCAAUAAUGUGUUGUGUGUGUACACAGAACAGCAAGAUAAGCCAUCUCACUGAAAAAGCUCAGGUUACCUGUCAGCAGAUAGACACUAAUGAUCAGAAAUGCUAAGCUGGCUCAAUGGCAUAUGGUAUCAGGCUGCUGACAGGAAGAAAAACUCAUGUGUAUCCAGAACAAUUGUUUACUCUGUACUCCAUUUCACUUUGCUAAAGGUUAGCUGACAUGUCUCUUUAGCAACAAAGUCCCCACAACACUCACCCACCACCCUUGAUGAGAUUGAGCUCAGCAUCCACUUCAUCAGCACCAUCAAUG